RNAcentral lists this ribosomal RNA (468 nucleotides) under uncultured bacterium. Its description in RNAcentral is "bacterial SSU rRNA". It matches the Rfam family "Bacterial small subunit ribosomal RNA", at positions 26 to 507 of the family's 1533-position model. The record is from RNAcentral.
AGGACGAACGCUGGCGGCGUGCUUAACACAUGCAAGUCGAACGAUGAACCGGAGCUUGCUCCGGGGAUUAGUGGCGAACGGGUGAGUAACACGUGGGCAACCUGCCCCAGACACCGGGAUAACCUUCCGAAAGGAUGGCUAAUACCGGAUACGACCACUUCGGGCAUCCGACGGUGGUGGAAAGGAUUCUGGUCUGGGAUGGGCCCGCGGCCUAUCAGCUUGUUGGUGGGGUAAUGGCCUACCAAGGCGACGACGGGUAGCCGGCCUGAGAGGGCGACCGGCCACACUGGGACUGAGACACGGCCCAGACUCCUACGGGAGGCAGCAGUGGGGAAUAUUGCGCAAUGGGCGAAAGCCUGACGCAGCGACGCCGCGUGAGGGACGAAGGUCUUCGGAUUGUAAACCUCUUUCAGCAGGGACGAAGCGAAAGUGACUGUACCUGCAGAAGAAGCACCGGCUAACUACGUG